RNAcentral lists this ribosomal RNA (433 nucleotides) under uncultured bacterium. Its description in RNAcentral is "partial 16S ribosomal RNA". It matches the Rfam family "Bacterial small subunit ribosomal RNA", at positions 29 to 507 of the family's 1533-position model. The record is from RNAcentral.
AACGAACGCUGGCGGCAUGCCUAACACAUGCCAGUCGAACGAGACCUUCGGGUCUAGUGGCGCACGGGUGCGUAACGCGUGGGAACCUUCUCUUAGGUUCGGAAUAACUCCCCGAAAGGGGUGCUAAUACCGGAUAAUGUCUUCGGCCCAAAGAUUUAUCGCCUUUGGAUGGGCCCGCGUUGGAUUAGCUAGUUGGUAGGGUAAAAGCCUACCAAGGCGACGAUCCAUAGCUGGUCUGAGAGGAUGAUCAGCCACACUGGGACUGAGACACGGCCCAGACUCCUACGGGAGGCAGCAGUGGGGAAUAUUGGACAAUGGGCGAAAGCCUGAUCCAGCAAGGCCGCGUGAGUGAUGAAGGCCUUAGGGUUGUAAAGCUCUUUUACCCGGGAUGAUAAUGACAGUACCGGGAGAAUAAGCUCCGGCUAACUCCGUG